This is a small nuclear RNA of Ictidomys tridecemlineatus (thirteen-lined ground squirrel), 107 nucleotides long. The record is from Ensembl. NCBI's taxonomy places the organism in Eukaryota, Metazoa, Chordata, Mammalia, Rodentia, Sciuridae.
GUGCUUGCUUUGACAGCACAUAUGCCAACACUGGAACAAUGCAUAGAAAAUGGGCAUGAUACCUACAAAGAGAUGACACACAAAUUUGUGAAGCAGCCCAUAUACUU